Syzygium oleosum is the source of this 881-nucleotide long non-coding RNA. RefSeq lists it as uncharacterized. NCBI's taxonomy places the organism in Eukaryota, Viridiplantae, Streptophyta, Magnoliopsida, Myrtales, Myrtaceae. The record is from RefSeq and is a predicted model, not a curated record. The transcript is spliced from 2 exons.
AGUUCUUGCUUCGUUUUUACCCAUAAGAUAAAGAUAAAGAUGAAGAAAAAGAAAAAAGACCCAAAUAAAGAAAGCGAAUACUAGAAGCAUCCUGGUAGGACCAGCAGUUGGGUCUCCAUCAACUCAACUUCCGGAUGAAGUUGAGAGCACUUCAGAAUCAAGUUGAAGGCAAAAAGAUUAAAAAAGGAGAAGAAGAUAAGGACAACAAAGGAAAAGGAGGUGGAAUCCACCAAAGGGUCUGACAAAACGGCCGUGAUUUCAACUCAAUGCGAGUGGAGUAUAUAUUUCCAUCCCUUCUCAAAUAAGUGUGUAUCCAACGAAUCUCCAACCGAAGUUCAGGAACUUCAUCUCCCCUGUGUUUCUGGCGCAGAGAGCACGAGAUGGAAAACCUUUCGAUAGAGCUGUGGAGUCUUUGCCGACAGGGUUUGGAGUGGAAGCCUGCUGUGGAGGUGCUCGUCAAUCAUUACUUGAAGUUGAAAGAACGAGCUAUGUAUUGGUGCCCCAAUCAGUCCCGGUGUUCACUAGGAACACGCGAGCAGGGGCCAUGCACGAAUAUCACCUAAAGCCGUUCUCUUGUAGUAUGCUUCAGGAGGCAGGAGAAUUUGUCCUUGGCCUCUUGAAAGAAAUACAAGAUGAGAAGGCUGAUAAUCGUUCUUCAUCAACAUACGUGGCACCUCAAUCAAGGCAGGUCUAAGAAUGUCAAGAUGCCUCAAGAGAGACGAUCCAUGUAUCUCUAAUAAAUAGUUGAAGAUAUGUCAACAAGGUGAUCUAGGUAAUUGGAGACGCUUGUGAAGUCAUCCGCAACCUAGUUUUCAUUUACUUAUUGUGGAGCACAAUGAUCUUUAUGAUAGAAUCAAAUAAACCCUCUUUCUUGUCAAGAA